ACGAACGCUGGCGGCGUGCUUAACCCAUGCCAGUCGAACGAAGCUUGCUUACGGAUUCUUCGGAUGAAGUAUGAUAUGACUGAGUGGCGGACGGGUGAGUAACGCGUGAGUAACCUGCCCUUCAGAGGGGGAUAGCGUUUGGAAACGAACGGUAAUACCGCAUAAUGUAUUUUGACCGCAUGAUCGAAAUACCAAAGAUUUAUCGCUGAAGGAUGGACUCGCGUCUGAUUAGGUAGUUGGUGGGGUAACGGCCUACCAAGCCGACGAUCAGUAGCCGGACUGAGAGGUUGAUCGGCCACAUUGGGACUGAGACACGGCCCAGACUCCUACGGGAGGCAGCAGUGGGGAAUAUUGCACAAUGGGCGCAAGCCUGAUGCAGCAACGCCGCGUGAAGGAAGACGGUUUUCGGAUUGUAAACUUCUGUUCUUAGUGAAGAAUAAUGACGGUAGCUAAGGAGCAAGCCACGGCUAACUACGUG
Molecule: ribosomal RNA, 478 nt
Filed under: uncultured bacterium
Lineage: Bacteria
Description: partial 16S ribosomal RNA
Rfam family: Bacterial small subunit ribosomal RNA
Source: RNAcentral